UCCCUCCUGCUUCUCUCUCUUCUCCCCUCCCCCUCCCCCCGUCAACCGACAAGGCGCCUGCGCGAUCGCUCCGGCCGUUUCCCGCUCACCUCGGCUCUUCUGCUGGCUGUCGCCGCCGUAGGCAAAAUGACGCCUCCCGGGUCCUAAAGCCGUUGUGCAUGCAUCCCGCGCUGAAAAGUCGAACAUACAUGAGUUGAGCGGGAAGACGACUCAUGGCAGCGUGAGACACCCACUGCAGCUGUCUCUCAGGAAUGCAAUCUUUUGCAGUGGAAUUUGGCAUCCCUGAGAUCCAGAAGAGAGGAAACCAGCAAGUAUUUCUGCCAGAUGGGCUGGAAUGCACAGGGGGUGGGGGAGAAACUAAGUCUGUUUAAACAGAAAUAUAGGUCUGUAUCACUUAAACAUGGAACUGGAUUCUUAAAUCAUUAUUGCAAGAUGAAACGGUCAGUGCAAAAGCAAACUGAAGACCAGCCCAGACAUGAUGGGGUCAUCAUUCAAAUCACCCCUAUAAAGUGUGGUAUCUUAGAAUAAAAACACAAAGAGGACGUGCUGAACCCUUUCCCUUUGGAUCAUAGCAGUUGGUUGCUCCAGCAAAUUUACUUUAUUCCUAGCACUAGUACUAGAAGUGACCUGAAAACAUAAUAAAACAGCCUACCCAGGGCUUGUAAAGACAUUAGUCUUUUGGGGCCUGGGCAGAGCUUGUCUGAGGCCUGGGGUAGGACUCU
This is a long non-coding RNA of Podarcis raffonei (Aeolian wall lizard), 722 nucleotides long. RefSeq lists it as uncharacterized. NCBI's taxonomy places the organism in Eukaryota, Metazoa, Chordata, Lepidosauria, Squamata, Lacertidae. The transcript is spliced from 3 exons. The record is from RefSeq and is a predicted model, not a curated record.